This 342-nucleotide long non-coding RNA is filed under the name Salvia miltiorrhiza (redroot sage). RNAcentral's name for it is "long non-coding RNA (SMIL_LNC013832)". Lineage: Eukaryota; Viridiplantae; Streptophyta; Magnoliopsida; Lamiales; Lamiaceae. The record is from RNAcentral.
GAGUGUAAAUAUAAAAAUUGGAAGCUAUAGUCAUUAUUUUCAAAUUUCGUAACUUAUAGUCUCAUUUUCAAAUUCAGUAACAUAUAGUCAUCUUUUUCAAAAACACUAAAAGUUACAGUCUUAUUUUAACAAUUAACUCUCGUCUCCAAGGGGACACCAAGCGGUGCGACCUCCUGUGUGUGAACAGUGAGGUCUCGGGUUCAAACCCCACUGCUCCCCCUCCCCAACUCCCCCAAGUAAAAAAANAACAAUUAACUCCCAAAUUCACAGCAAAAUAAGAAUGUUGUCCAAUCCCAAUUUCAACAAUAAACCUCUAACACGUCAAAAUAAAACUUUGCCCGC